Molecule: ribosomal RNA, 505 nt
Filed under: uncultured bacterium
Lineage: Bacteria
Description: partial 16S ribosomal RNA
Rfam family: Bacterial small subunit ribosomal RNA
Source: RNAcentral
GACGAACGCUGGCGGCGUGCCUAAUACAUGCAAGUAGAACGCACAGUUUAUACCGUAGCUUGCUACACCAUAGACUGUGAGUUGCGAACGGGUGAGUAACGCGUAGGUAACCUGCCUGGUAGCGGGGGAUAACUAUUGGAAACGAUAGCUAAUACCGCAUAAUAUUGAUUAUUGCAUGAUAAUUGAUUGAAAGAUGCUAUUGCAUCACUACCAGAUGGACCUGCGUUGUAUUAGCUAGUAGGUGAGGUAACGGCUCACCUAGGCGACGAUACAUAGACGACCUGAGAGGGUGAUCGGCAACACUGGGACGGGAACACGGCCCGGAAUCCUACGGGAGGCAGCAGUAGGGAAUCUUCGGCAAUGGACGAAAGUCUGACCGAGCAACGCCGCGUGAGUGCAGAAGGUUGUCGGGUCGUAAAGCUCUGUUGUAAGAGAAGAACGGGUGUGAGAGUGGAAAGUUCACACUGUGACGGUAUCUUACCAGAAAGGGACGGCUAACUACGUG